AACGAACGCUGGCGGCAUGCCUAACACAUGCAAGUCGAACGGGAUCCUAGCUUGCUAGGUGAGAGUGGCGGACGGGUGAGUAACACGUGGGAAUCUGCCUUUUGGUUCGGGAUAACCGCGGGAAACUGCGGCUAAUACCGAAUGCCCUCGAGAGAGGAAAGAUUUAUCGCCAGAAGAGGAGCCCGCGUCCGAUUAGGUAGUUGGUGGGGUAAAGGCCUACCAAGCCGACGAUCGGUAGCUGGUCUGAGAGGAUGAUCAGCCACACUGGGACUGAGAUACGGCCCAGACUCCUACGGGAGGCAGCAGUGGGGAAUAUUGGACAAUGGGCGAAAGCCUGACGCAGCCAUGCCGCGUGUAUGAUGAAGGUCUUAGGAUUGUAAAAUACUUUCACCGGGGAAGAUAAUGACGGUACCCGGAGAAGAAGCCCCGGCUAACUUCGUGCCAGCAGCCGCGGUAAU
RNAcentral lists this ribosomal RNA (458 nucleotides) under uncultured bacterium. Its description in RNAcentral is "bacterial SSU rRNA". It matches the Rfam family "Bacterial small subunit ribosomal RNA", at positions 29 to 524 of the family's 1533-position model. The record is from RNAcentral.